RNAcentral lists this ribosomal RNA (465 nucleotides) under uncultured bacterium. Its description in RNAcentral is "partial 16S ribosomal RNA". It matches the Rfam family "Bacterial small subunit ribosomal RNA", at positions 28 to 507 of the family's 1533-position model. The record is from RNAcentral.
AACGAACGCUGGCGGCAUGCUUAACACAUGCAAGUCGUACGGUAAGGCCCUUUCGGGGGUACACGAGUGGCGAACGGGUGAGUAACACGUGAGUAACCUGCCCACAACUUUGGGAUAACGCUAGGAAACUGGUGCUAAUACUGGAUAUGUGCUCCUGCGGCAUGGUGGGGGUUGGAAAGCUCCGGCGGUUGUGGAUGGACUCGCGGCCUAUCAGCUUGUUGGUGGGGUAGUGGCCUACCAAGGCGGCGACGGGUAGCCGGCCUGAGAGGGUGACCGGCCACAUUGGGACUGAGGUAAGGCCGAGAUGCCGACGGGAGGACGAAGGGGGGAAUACUGCACAAUGGGCGCAAGCCUGAUGCAGAAACGCCGCGGGCGGGAUGACGGCCUUCGGGUUGAAAAACGCCUUCAGCAGGGACGACGCUUUUUGUGACGGUACCUGCAGAAGAAGCACCGGCUAACUACGUG